Molecule: non-coding RNA, 87 nt
Filed under: Spiribacter salinus M19-40
Lineage: Bacteria; Pseudomonadati; Pseudomonadota; Gammaproteobacteria; Chromatiales; Ectothiorhodospiraceae
Also listed under: 1 other name
Description: SAH (S-adenosyl-L-homocysteine) riboswitch aptamer
Rfam family: SAH (S-adenosyl-L-homocysteine) riboswitch aptamer
Source: Rfam by way of RNAcentral
GGGUUCGAGGAGCGCUGCACCCCGCUGACAUCCGUCGGUGGGGGAGGCUCGAACACCGGACUUAAAUAACAACGGCGCUCGACUGCA